This 259-nucleotide ribosomal RNA is filed under the name uncultured bacterium. RNAcentral describes it as "partial 16S ribosomal RNA". It matches the Rfam family "Bacterial small subunit ribosomal RNA", at positions 96 to 353 of the family's 1533-position model. The record is from RNAcentral.
UGGCGGACGGGUGAGUAAUGUCUGGGAAACUGCCUGAUGGAGGGGGGAGUAACACUUUGGAAACGGUAGCUAAUACCGCAUAACGUCGCAAGACCAAAGAGGGGGACCCUCGGGCCUCUUGCCAUCGGAUGUGCCCAGAUGGGAUUAGCUUGUUGGUGGGGUAACGGCUCACCAAGGCGACGAUCCCUAGCUGGUCUGAGAGGAUGACCAGCCACACUGGAACUGAGACACGGUCCAGACUCCUACGGGAGGCAGCAUG